GGAAGGAUCAUUAAAAAAAAAAAGGGAGUUUUGAAAAAAAAUUCUAAAAACGGAAAAAGAUGGAUGCGUUUUUUUGUAUUACGGUGAUUUUGAAAAGAAGAAACGGGGGUUUUUUUUUAAAAAGUUGAAAAAAAAGAAUUGCGAAAACCUUAUACAUUGGAUGACUUGGUUUUGUGUUGGAUGGAGAACGCUGUAAAGUGCGAUAAUUAAUGUGACAUACAAUUAUUGAAUCAUUAAAAUUUUGAAUGCAAAUGGCAGAAAGAAUAAAAUCUUUCUAAAAAAGGAAGAGAGGAAAUUAAAGAAAAAAAAAAGAUGUGGAAAGAAUGUUUCGAAAGAAAAAAAUUCUUUUUAAAGUACGAGUAGAAAAAGCGGCGGCGGCGGCGGCGGCGGCGGAGGGGAUGUUCCCAGGGGGAUUUUUUUUUAUUGAUAAAAAGAAGAAAAAAAAAAAAACUUGGAAAAAGAGUCCCCACUCGGACGCGCGCGCGAGCGAAAAAAAAAAUACAUCUUUCCCUCUUCUCUUUUUUCAUUACUCGGUGAAUUUAAGCAUAUUAUUAACCGAAGGAAAAGAAAUCAAAUGAGAUACCUCUAGUAGUGGCGAACGAAGAAGGUGACAGGUCAAAGGGUAGGGUGCCGGGCUGUAAUGCCUUUGGUUCCGAUUCCCCUUUACAAUUCGAAUCGUGUGAGGGCCGGGAUGGGGUUGAACUGGAAUGGAACUUCCGGACAGAGAGGGUGAAAUCCCCGUAAACCCCCCCACGUGGGUGCCUCUAGAUCAGGUUUGGAUUUGGAGUAGCGUAGUUUGGGAAUACUGCGUAAAGAUGGAGGUAUGUUUCUUCAAAACCUAAAUAUGACACAAAGACCGAUAGAGGAGAAGUACUGCGAAGGAAAGUUGAAAAGAAUUGCGAAAGCAAAGUUAAAAGUACCUGAACAUGUAUAAGGAGAACAAGAAGGAGAAAUUAAAGGGCGUGCACGGUUUCACUGUGGGGCGCUCGGGGAGAGGGGGGGAGCGGUGGAGGAGAAAGGGGAGAAAGUGAGCGGAUGGCGCAAAAAAGUCCAUCUUGAGUCGUUUUCCCUGGAACUGCCACGAGGAUGCUCUACCAGGAAAGUUGUAACACCCUGGGGCUCUGGGGAGUCUGUGGAGCGGUCAGGUUUAAGAACAAGAAAUUGUGCGUAGACGGGAUGCUCGACAGGUUUUUUCCAACCACCAAAAUUACAAGGCUUCUCCAAGAAUGACUUUUUCUAUCCCGUCUUGAAACACGGACCAAGGAGUGCAUCAUAGCUGAGAGCGUUUUAGUGGGAAAACUAGUAACGCGUAAUGAAAGUAAAAGGGGAGUGAUGGCGUGUGGAGAGCGCGCUUGCAACUUCUGCCGGAUGUGAUUUUUUUUGACCAUUCUGAGCGAAAUUAGCUAUGAUACAACCCGAAAGAUGAUGAUCUUUACACGACGAGGUUGAAGCCUGGUGAAAAUCAGGUGGAGGACCGACGGGCGUUCUGACGUGCAAAUCGAUGCUCACAGUUGUGUAAAGGGGCGAAAUACUCAUCGAAUCAUUUAGUUGCUGGUUUUCUU
RNAcentral lists this unclassified non-coding RNA (1562 nucleotides) under uncultured fungus. RNAcentral's name for it is "sequence contains 18S rRNA gene, ITS1, 5.8S rRNA gene, ITS2, 28S rRNA gene". The stretch from base 507 to 1562 matches the Rfam family "Eukaryotic large subunit ribosomal RNA", at positions 1 to 961 of the family's 3401-position model. Lineage: Eukaryota; Fungi. The record is from RNAcentral.